GACGAACGCUGGCGGCGUGCCUAAUACAUGCAAGUUGAACGCUUGAUUUUCACCGAAGCUUGCUUCACCGAAAAUCAAGAGUAGCGAACGGGUGAGUAACGCGUGGGUAACCUACCUAUCAGCGGGGGAUAACUAUUGGAAACGAUAGCUAAUACCGCAUAACAAUGUUGGAUGCAUAUUCGACAUUUGAAAGUAUCAAUUGGUACACUGAGAGAUGGACCCGGGUUGUAUUAGCUAGUUGGUAGUGUAAUGGACUACCAAGGCGAUGAUACAUAGCCGACCUGAGAGGGUGAUCGGCCACAUUGGGACUGAGACACGGCCCAAACUCCUACGGGAGGCAGCAGUAGGGAAUCUUCGGCAAUGGACGAAAGUCUGACCGAGCAACGCCGCGUGAGUGAAGAAGGUUUUCGGAUCGUAAAACUCUGUUGUUAGAGAAGAACGUUGCAUAGAGUGGAAAAUUAUGCAAGUGACGGUAUCUAACCAGAAAGGGACGGCUAACUACGUGCCAGCCGCCGCAGUAAAAC
Molecule: ribosomal RNA, 524 nt
Filed under: uncultured bacterium
Lineage: Bacteria
Description: bacterial SSU rRNA
Rfam family: Bacterial small subunit ribosomal RNA
Source: RNAcentral